AUGGCGCCGUCCGCCAGCUCCUCCUCCGGCACGGACUCCACUGGUUCCUCCUCCUCAUCGGGGAGCGACCGCCGCGUCCGCCGCCGCCACAGCCGCCGCAAGGACGCCGCGCCGUCCACGUCCUCCUCCUCCGCGCUGAAGGUGCGCAAGGACCGCAAGUCCCGCCACAAGCGCCGCCGCCGGGAGAGGCGGAAGUCCCGUUCAGACGACGACAGCUACAGUAGCGCAAGCUCUUAUGAUAGUGACCGCGAGGCAUCUGGCAGAUCACGUAAGCAUAAGAAGAGCAGUAGAUCAAGGAAGUCUAGGGAAAGAGAGCGAAGCAAGGAUAGGCAUCAUAAACGGGACAAGAGUAAACAUAGAGAGAAGAAAGAGAGUGAACGUUCUAGCGGUCCGGUCCAGCUUUCCAAGUUCCUUGGUCGCGAGAAGGAGGAAAGCGGCAAAAGGAGUGUUAUCUCUGGUAAAAAGAUAAUGAUGAAGCUCGAGAAAUCCAAGGAAGAUAAGGCGGCUGAGAGCAAGCGCAAUGAACUGUUGAAGUUUCUGAAUGCCAGUUAUGAUUGA
RNAcentral lists this ribosomal RNA (558 nucleotides) under Triticum aestivum (bread wheat). RNAcentral's name for it is "partial small subunit ribosomal RNA". Lineage: Eukaryota; Viridiplantae; Streptophyta; Magnoliopsida; Poales; Poaceae. The record is from RNAcentral.